GUUAUAGUAGUUUAGAAUAAAAACAUUGGUCUUGUAAACCAAAAUCAGAUUAAUAUCUCUAUAACU
This 66-nucleotide transfer RNA is filed under the name Histioteuthis reversa. RNAcentral's name for it is "tRNA-Thr". It matches the Rfam family "tRNA". From Rfam's summary of the family: Transfer RNA (tRNA) molecules are approximately 80 nucleotides in length. Their secondary structure includes four short double-helical elements and three loops (D, anti-codon, and T loops). The record is from RNAcentral. Lineage: Eukaryota; Metazoa; Mollusca; Cephalopoda; Oegopsida; Histioteuthidae.